UUGCUGCUCCUCAGCAGGUCUUAACUUCUGCAGAGAAACACAUGAAACAUGCAGGACUGGGUCACYGGUCGUUUUGGGUUGGUCAGGGUCAGGGAACUGAUAACUGGUCCAGAGGUUUGGAACAUGGACUAGGUCCAGAACCAAGGGCGACUUAGGACGACAACUGGAGAACUCCCAGGAUCCUCCUAAAACCAAGCGGGRUGGCUGGCAGAACCUGCACCUUCAGAAGAGCAGGCAUCAACAUUCAGCUCCGUCKGCGACGUUUCCCCACUUUAAUUGAAAUUUAGAUUGUUGUUGACCCUCCUGGGCCAGGUUUUCUGGACCGAGCCUCAGAUGAAGACUCUAAUGGGGUGGGUUGGCCAGAGAAAGCCAUCUAUCUGUCAUUGUGUGUCUGUGUGUGUGUGUGUGUGUGUUUUCUCUGGCCAUUUAUCUUCCUGCAGCUCUGCAGAUUCCUCUGCACACAGAACACGAGUUGCUCUUUUUCAGCAGCUGUGUUUGGGAGAGGAGGGSUUUGUGUUUUUCUCUCCGUUCCUGAAAACAACCUGAGGGAUGGACCGGUUCCUCUGGCGAUCCUGCCUUUCACUCAGAGGCGCUACAUAUCUACCUCACCAGCUAAUGAGAGCGUCGGGACGCCAGCAGACAGAAAUGUUGUGUAAACAGCUUUAAGAUUUGAAGACUGCAGCAGAAAUAUAAAAUAAAACCGCUAAACAUC
Molecule: long non-coding RNA, 712 nt
Organism: Austrofundulus limnaeus
Lineage: Eukaryota; Metazoa; Chordata; Actinopteri; Cyprinodontiformes; Rivulidae
Exons: 3
Source: RefSeq, a predicted model, not a curated record